UUUCAAGCGAGUGGCGAACGGGUGAGUAACACGUGGAUAACCUGCCUCAAGGCUGGGGAUAACAUUUGGAAACAGAUGCUAAUACCGAAUAAAACUUAGUAUCGCAUGAUAUCAAGUUAAAAGGCGCUACGGCGUCACCUAGAGAUGGAUCCGCGGUGCAUUAGUUAGUUGGUGGGGUAAAGGCUUACCAAGACAAUGAUGCAUAGCCGAGUUGAGAGACUGAUCGGCCACAUUGGGACUGAGACACGGCCCAAACUCCUACGGGAGGCUGCAGUAGGGAAUCUUCCACAAUGGGCGCAAGCCUGAUGGAGCAACGCCGCGUGUGUGAUGAAGGCUUUCGGGUCGUAAAGCACUGUUGUAUGGGAAGAAAUGCUAAAAUAGGGAAUGAUUUUAGUUUGACGGUACCAUACCAGAAAGGGACGGCUAAAUACGUGCCAGCAGCCGCGGUAAUACGUAUGUCCCGAGCGUUAUCCGGAUUUAUUGGGCGUAAAGCGAGCGCAGACGGUUGAUUAAGUCUGAUGUGAAAGCCCGGAGCUCAACUCCGGAAUGGCAUUGGAAACUGGUUAACUUGAGUGUUGUAGAGGUAAGUGGAACUCCAUGUGUAGCGGUGGAAUGCGUAGAUAUAUGGAAGAACACCAGUGGCGAAGGCGGCUUACUGGACAACAACUGACGUUGAGGCUCGAAAGUGUGGGUAGCAAACAGGAUUAGAUACCCUGGUAGUCCACACCGUAAACGAUGAAUACUAGGUGUUAGGAGGUUUCCGCCUCUUAGUGCCGAAGCUAACGCAUUAAGUAUUCCGCCUGGGGAGUACGACCGCAAGGUUGAAACUCAAAGGAAUUGACGGGGACCCGCACAAGCGGUGGAGCAUGUGGUUUAAUUCGAAGCAACGCGAAGAACCUUACCAGGUCUUGACAUCCUUUGAAGCUUUUAGAGAUAGAAGUGUUCUCUUCGGAGACAAAGUGACAGGUGGUGCAUGGUCGUCGUCAGCUCGUGUCGUGAGAUGUUGGGUUAAGUCCCGCAACGAGCGCAACCCUUAUUGUUAGUUGCCAGCAUUCAGUUGGGCACUCUAGCGAGACUGCCGGUGACAAACCGGAGGAAGGCGGGGACGACGUCAGAUCAUCAUGCCCCUUAUGACCUGGGCUACACACGUGCUACAAUGGCGUAUACAACGAGUUGCCAACCUGCGAAGGUGAGCUAAUCUCUUAAAGUACGUCUCAGUUCGGACUGCAGUCUGCAACUCGACUGCACGAAGUCGGAAUCGCUAGUAAUCGCGGAUCAGCACGCCGCGGUGAAUACGUUCCCGGGUCUUGUACACACCGCCCGUCACACCAUGGGAGUUUGUAAUGCCCAAAGCCGGUGGCCUAACCU
Molecule: ribosomal RNA, 1368 nt
Filed under: Leuconostoc citreum
Lineage: Bacteria; Bacillati; Bacillota; Bacilli; Lactobacillales; Lactobacillaceae
Description: bacterial SSU rRNA
Rfam family: Bacterial small subunit ribosomal RNA
Source: RNAcentral